RNAcentral lists this ribosomal RNA (305 nucleotides) under uncultured bacterium. Its description in RNAcentral is "bacterial SSU rRNA". It matches the Rfam family "Bacterial small subunit ribosomal RNA", at positions 334 to 636 of the family's 1533-position model. The record is from RNAcentral.
UUUUCCUACGGGAGGCAGCAGUGAGGAAUAUUGGUCAAUGGGCGUAAGCCUGAACCAGCCAAGUCGCGUGAGGGAUGAAGGAUCUAUGGUUCGUAAACCUCUUUUAUAAGGGAAUAAAGUGCGGGACGUGUCCUGUUUUGUAUGUACCUUAUGAAUAAGGAUCGGCUAACUCCGUGCCAGCAGCCGCGGUAAUACGGAGGAUCCGAGCGUUAUCCGGAUUUAUUGGGUUUAAAGGGUGCGUAGGCGGCCUUUUAAGUCAGCGGUGACAGUCUGUGGCUCAACCAUAGAAUUGCCGUUGGAACUGG